GGACAAGCAGGAGGUCAUGUAACCUAAAGGGAUAACGAUGGGAUUGGACAAGCAGGAAGGUAGGAUGCCCUUGAAAUUAAAGGCUGGAGGGAAGGGCCUUAGCAGCGUCAACAAAAGCCAUCCGGAGCUCAGGCCGUUCAAUUAAAUCAACAUUAAUGAAGUGCCAGGAACUGUGCUCGGCUUUGCCUGCGAAACAUGAAACAGUCCCUGCCUUCGAGAAGUUUAUUUCAGAAUCACAAAACCUCAGGGGGCAUCUUGUCCAUCCCAUGCCCAGAAGGAAAUUACUACCAUAAUGUCACUACACCCACCACCAGUCCAUGGCUAUUGCAAAAGCCUACUGCUGCCCAAGUGGUCUCAAGCCUUUACUCAGACACCCAAAGGAGAAGGACUUGUCUCCUCCAAGGCAUCCAACCCUUAUUAAAACCCAGCACAACUUCAAACUGUGCAUACCCUUUGAUCCAGCAGUGUUGCUACUGGGCUUAUAUCCCAAAGAGAUCAUAAAGAAGGGAAAGGGACCCGUAUGUGCAUGAAUGUUUGUGGCAGCCCUCUUUGUAGUGGCUAGAAACUGGAAACUGAGUGGAUGCCCAUCAGUUGGAGAAUGGCUGAAUAAAUUGUGGUAUAUGAAUAUUAUGGAAUAUUAUUGUUCUGUAAGAAGUGACCAACAGGAUGAUUUCAGAAAGGCCUGGGGAGACACGAACUGAUGCUGAGUGAAAUGAGCAGGACCAGGAGAUCAUUCUAUACUUCAACAACAAUACUAUAUGAUGACCAGUUCUGAUGGACCUGGCCAUCCUCAGCAACGAGAUCAACCAAAUCAUUUCCAAUGGAGCAGUAAUGAACUGAACCAGCUACACCCAGAGAAAGAACUCUGGGAGAUGACUAAAAACCAUUACAUUGAAUUCCCACUCCCUAUAUUUUUGCCUACCUGCAUUUUUUAUUUCCUUCACAAGCUAAUUGUACAAUAUUUCAGAGUCUGAUUCUAUUUGUAUAGCAAAAUAAUGGUUUGGUCAUGUAGACUUAAUGUGUAUCUAAUUUAUAUUUUAAUAUAUUUAACAUCUACUGGUCAUCCUGCCAUCUGGGGGAGGGGGUGGGGAGUAAGAGGUGAAAAAUUGGAACAAGAGGUUUGGCAAUUGUUAAUGCUGUAAAGCUACCCAUACAUAUAACCUGUAAAUAAAAGGCCAUUAAAAAUAAAUAAAUAAAUUUAAUUAAUUAAUUAAAAAAAAAC
Molecule: long non-coding RNA, 1222 nt
Filed under: Sarcophilus harrisii (Tasmanian devil)
Lineage: Eukaryota; Metazoa; Chordata; Mammalia; Dasyuromorphia; Dasyuridae
Description: lncRNA (ENSSHAG00000020589.1)
Source: RNAcentral